Molecule: ribosomal RNA, 506 nt
Filed under: uncultured bacterium
Lineage: Bacteria
Description: partial 16S ribosomal RNA
Rfam family: Bacterial small subunit ribosomal RNA
Source: RNAcentral
AGUGAACGCUGGCGGUAGGCCUAACACAUGCAAGUCGAACGGCAGCACAGGAGAGCUUGCUCUCUGGGUGGCGAGUGGCGGACGGGUGAGGAAUACAUCGGAAUCUACUCUGUCGUGGGGGAUAACGUAGGGAAACUUACGCUAAUACCGCAUACGACCUCCGGGUGAAAGCAGGGGAGCUUCGGACCUUGCGCGAUUGAAUGAGCUGAUGUCGGAUAAGCUAGUUGGCGGGGUAAAGGCCCACCAAGGCGACGAUCCGGAGCUGGUCUGAGAGGAUGAUCAGCCACACUGGAACUGAGACACGGUCCAGACUCCUACGGGAGGCAGCAGUGGGGAAUAUUGGACAAUGGGCGCAAGCCUGAUCCAGCCAUACCGCGUGGGUGAAGAAGGCCUUCGGGUUGUAAAGCCCUUUUGUUGGGAAAGAAAUCCAGCUGGCUAAUACCCGGUUUGGAUGACGGUACCCAAAGAAUAAGCACCGGCUAACUUCGUGCCAGCCGCCGCGGUAA